GGCAGUCCUACUCCCCAGCGGCAGUACAUCUCACAGGGAGAGUAGACAACUGGUCCCCCUCCCCAGCGGCAGUGUAUCCUACAGGGAGUGGAGACAAUCGGUCUCCCUCCCCAGCAGCAGUGUGCCUCCCAGGGAGCAGAAGGUGUCGUCUUUCCUCCCCAGCGGCAGUAUGUUUUAUCGGGAGAGGAGACAACCGGUCUCCCUUCCCAACAGCAACCAGAGGUAACCGAGAUAGGGGACCUCAUGGGCUGGUCCUUGGAGGACCCCCAAACGGCAGGUGGAGAUGGGAUCGAGGUCUCUCCACCGGCCCUACAG
Non-coding RNA from Pelobates cultripes (western spadefoot toad), 315 nucleotides. Lineage: Eukaryota; Metazoa; Chordata; Amphibia; Anura; Pelobatidae. The record is from the annotation of a GenBank genome assembly.